Molecule: ribosomal RNA, 253 nt
Filed under: uncultured bacterium
Lineage: Bacteria
Description: partial 16S ribosomal RNA
Rfam family: Bacterial small subunit ribosomal RNA
Source: RNAcentral
UACGUAGGUGGCAAGCGAUACUCGGAAUCACUAGGCGUAAAGCGCAGGUAGGCGGUUCGGUAAGUCUUUUGUGAAAGCUCCUGGCUUAACUGGGAGAGGUCAAAGGAAACUGCCGGGCUAGAGUUUGGUAGGGGAUACUGGAAUUCCUGGUGUAGCGGUGAAAUGCGUAGAUAUCAGGAGGAAUACCGAUGGCGAAAGCAGGUAUCUGGGCCACAACUGACGCUGAGCUGCGAAAGCGUGGGGAGCAAACAGG